CCGCCCAUAGCUCAAUUGGCAGAGCAGGGGCCUCUUAAGCCCAAGGUUCUAGGUUCAAUUCCUAGUGGGCGGA
RNAcentral lists this transfer RNA (73 nucleotides) under Candidatus Niyogibacteria bacterium RIFCSPLOWO2_12_FULL_41_13. RNAcentral's name for it is "tRNA-Lys". It matches the Rfam family "tRNA". From Rfam's summary of the family: Transfer RNA (tRNA) molecules are approximately 80 nucleotides in length. Lineage: Bacteria; Candidatus Niyogiibacteriota. The record is from RNAcentral.